GAUACAUACAAUGGACUGGUAGGGGUUGUUAGUGUGAGAACAAACGACGCAACUGCAUCCCCAAAUUCCUCUUUCUUGGUCUCCUCUAAAUGCUAAUGUCCUAUCACUUUUCUCUCCCACUCAACAAGCAAUAGAGAAGGCAAAUGGAAAGCAAGAGAAAUGUAAAAAAACAGUAAAAACACUCCUUUAUUUGAAAGCAGCAUGUAAAAAUAGAGACCUAAGUCUUCCAAUGUGACAGACUGGUGUUGAUAGGACAUAAAAAGAAUGAAGGCAGAUGGCCUAAAGUGAUGACCCUUUGUUUGAGAUAACAAGGAGCCUGAAAGGGAGGAAGAAUAUAGCCCAGAGUGGAGGUGAGGGGCUGAAGAGCAAAGAGCAGGAAGCGUGACAUUACAGAUAGGGGUCAAAUGUCCAGAGGAAACCUGUGAGAUAAGGAGACCCCAGUCAAAGGAUCUUCAAGUGGAGAAAGCUAAAUGGACAGCUCUCAGCAUGGGCCUAAUAGGUUCCUGUUCUCACAUACAGAGUGUUGGUGGGAGGUUGUCACUGUGGCUCAGAUAAUUUGCAAACACACAAGGAAAUUGUCUUGGCAUAGCAGAACAAAGCUGACUCAAUCAAACGAGAACAAUUUCCCCCUAUAGACUGGCUGCCUUACUAUGCAGAUUUUGAGUUUUGUGUGUGUAUGGCUUUUUUUUUUAAAUGUCACUUAAAAUGAGUGUAAUGAAUUCUAAAAUAAUUUAUCUGAUCAUUUUUAUAACACUGAGAACCUAAGAUAUACAAAUAAAAAUUAUUGAAUCCACUUAGAAAUGUUCUCUAGAGAUAUUAGAUACUUUGAAUAUUUUCAUAGCUGUCUUUCUUUUAAUCAUAUUCAUUUAGUGCGUAGAUCACUUUUAGAAAGAAAAAUAACAAUAGGAAAGGUUGGUUUUGUUUUAAAAUUAAAUAGAGUUCAUUCUAAAUAAACAGGAAAUCAGAUUCAUUACUUUGGCUUUACAGCAACAUCUAUCCACAUUCUGACUGACAUUUUUAACAUGCUUCAAAUUCAUUUUUAAGUACCUUGUUGAAUAAUCUCCACAUGGAUAUUACUUGAUUUCCUAUUCUAAUCCUUUCAUGGAAUAUGUCUCUAUUCUUUUGUCUUUGGUAGUAGAAUCAGAAGCCAUUAAUCACAACAGCCAAUAAAAAUUGACAAAGAACUUUAAGUGAAUUGGUCAAUUUCUGAUAAGGUUAUAGAUAAACUGUACAUCAUAAAUCAAAGCAAGGAAGAGGCCUUUGUUACAGUUUCACCCCUUCGUAAUAAGAGUUUCUUUGAACUUAUGCUGCUGAGUGGGAAGAACAGGAGAGAGUGCUGACUAUCUUUAAAACACAUCAAAGCACUAGAGGCUAGAAGGAUGUUUAUACCAGGUUGAAUGGGAGCUGGGCCGCAUCUUUCAGUGUAGACAUCCAUUUAUCUCUGAAUAACAGAAAGGUUCUCUGGUCACCACUAGGACUCAGAACCAGAAGAUCUACACAGGGUCCAAGUUUUCUUUGUUUUGGUAUUUUUCAACCUUGAUUAUGAAGUCAUCUUUUUCUCAAAAUCAUUUUGUAUUAUGGAGAAAAAAAUGUUAUGAAUACCAGGUCCAGAAAAAUCCUGAAAAAGAAAGAAAGAAAGAAAG
RNAcentral lists this long non-coding RNA (1643 nucleotides) under Mus musculus (house mouse). Its description in RNAcentral is "long non-coding RNA chr13:118758725-118760368". The record is from RNAcentral. Lineage: Eukaryota; Metazoa; Chordata; Mammalia; Rodentia; Muridae.